GUAUGGUGCAAGCGUUAUCCGGAUUUACUGGGUGUAAAGGGCGCGUAGGUGGUGAGACAAGUCUGAAGUGAAAAUCCGGGGCUUAACCCCGGAACUGCUUUGGAAACUGCCUGACUAGAGUACAGGAGAGGUAAGUGGAAUUCCUAGUGUAGCGGUGAAAUGCGUAGAUAUUAGGAGGUACAUCAGUGGCGAAGGCGACUUACUGGACUGCUACUGACACUGAGGCACGAAAGCGUGGGGAGCAAACAGGAUUAGAUACCCUGGUAGUCCACGCCGUAAACGAUGAAGACUAGGUGUCGGGGCCCAAAGGGCUUCGGUGCCGCAGCCAACGCAAUAAGUAUUCCACCUGGGGAGUACGUUCGCAAGAAUG
This 370-nucleotide ribosomal RNA is filed under the name uncultured bacterium. Its description in RNAcentral is "bacterial SSU rRNA". It matches the Rfam family "Bacterial small subunit ribosomal RNA", at positions 527 to 896 of the family's 1533-position model. The record is from RNAcentral.